GCUCUAGGAGUUGAUCCAGAAUUGUCUUUCUGGAAGGGAAGCACUCGAAUCCUUUCGAACUUUCCAAGUCUAUCCAUGAUUCAGAUAUACUGCCUUCUCCCUCUGGGAUUUUCUGUUUGUGGCUUCGGAAUUUCUCGGCACCUACCUGUAGUGUGGGACACUUGGUUUGGUUGCAGAGUCUGAAGGUGGAAGAAUGAGCUGUAUUUGGUUAAGCAGUUCUAACCCUUUUUGAGCAGGAUUUAUAAAAGCAUAAGUGAAUGUGUUUCACCCCCGUGGAUUCCAGUGGGCCCGACAGCGCAACAGGUUUGCAGAUUUCUUUUGGAAUUCUUUUUUUUUUUUCCUCCUCUGCUUCAGGAAAAGAAAAGAAUAUUAACAGGUUCAUGUUCAGUUGCUUGGCUUUUUAGCACUUAUUCUGAAGACUUUUAUGAGAUCUUUUAAACUUGACCUCGAAGCACAGUGGGCUUUGUGGGUGAUGUGCAUUUAUAUUCACCUACGGGUGCUCAUUUUAAAAUAUUAUUCUGGGUUUAUACAAAGACCCAACAUUCUCAUAUAUGCCUAGAAAUAGCACAGAACUGCUCUACUCAGGCUUAAUUGUAGUUUUUUAGGGUGUUCUACUUAGAGCCUGACUAAUCACAUCCCUGAUCCUAUCUUUUAUUCUUCACCCC
Molecule: long non-coding RNA, 665 nt
Filed under: Heterocephalus glaber (naked mole-rat)
Lineage: Eukaryota; Metazoa; Chordata; Mammalia; Rodentia; Bathyergidae
Description: lncRNA (ENSHGLG00100045627.1)
Source: RNAcentral